Molecule: ribosomal RNA, 460 nt
Filed under: uncultured bacterium
Lineage: Bacteria
Description: partial 16S ribosomal RNA
Rfam family: Bacterial small subunit ribosomal RNA
Source: RNAcentral
CCUACGGGGGGCAGCAGUGAGGAAUAUUGGUCAAUGGGCGCGAGCCUGAACCAGCCAAGUAGCGUGAAGGAUGACUGCCCUACGGGUUGUAAACUUCUUUUAUAAAGGAAUAAAGUGAGGCACGUGUGCCUUUUUGUAUGUACUUUAUGAAUAAGGAUCGGCUAACUCCGUGCCAGCAGCCGCGGUAAUACGGAGGAUCCGAGCGUUAUCCGGAUUUAUUGGGUUUAAGGGGAGCGCAGGAGGGUUGUUAAGUCAGUUGUGAAAGUCUGCGGCUCAACCGUAAAAUUGCAAUUGAUACUGGCAGCCUUGAGUACAGAUGAGGUAGGCGGAAUUCGUGGUGUAGCGGUGGAAUGCGUAGAUAUCACGAAGAACUCCGAUUGCGAAGGCAGCCUACUAAACUGCAACUGACAUUGAGGCUCGAAAGUGUGGGUAUCAAACAGGAUUAGAUACCCGAGUAGUC